RNAcentral lists this transfer RNA (79 nucleotides) under Acidiferrimicrobium australe. RNAcentral's name for it is "Acidimicrobiaceae bacterium USS-CCA1 tRNA-OTHER". The record is from RNAcentral. Lineage: Bacteria; Bacillati; Actinomycetota; Acidimicrobiia; Acidimicrobiales; Acidimicrobiaceae.
GCGGAGGCGAUGACAGGCCCGGCUCUUGAAAAGCUUUGGGAGGCAACUCCCCGGGGGUUCGAAUCCCUCUCCCUCCGCA